ACGAACGCUGGCGGCGUGCUUAACACAUGCAAGUCGAGCGGUAAGGCCUUUCGGGGUACACGAGCGGCGAACGGGUGAGUAACACGUGGGUGAUCUGCCCUACGCUCUGGGAUAGGCCUGGGAAACUGGGACUAAUACCGGAUAUGACCUGCGCUCGCAUGGGGGGGGGGGGAAAGAUUUAUCGGUGCGGGAUGGGCCCGCGGCCUAUCAGCUUGUUGGUGGGGUAAUGGCCUACCAAGGCGACGACGGGUAGCCGGCCUGGGAGGGUGACCGGCCACACUGGGACUGAGACACGGCCCAGACUCCUACGGGAGGCAGCAGUGGGGAAUAUUGCACAAUGGGCGGAAGCCUGAUGCAGCGACGCCGCGUGAGGGAUGACGGCCUUCGGGUUGUAAACCUCUUUCAGCAGGGACGAAGCGUGAGUGACGGUACCUGCAGAAGAAGCACCGGCUAACUACGU
This 460-nucleotide ribosomal RNA is filed under the name uncultured bacterium. Its description in RNAcentral is "bacterial SSU rRNA". It matches the Rfam family "Bacterial small subunit ribosomal RNA", at positions 29 to 506 of the family's 1533-position model. The record is from RNAcentral.